AUUGAACGCUGGCGGCAGGCCUAACACAUGCAAGUCGAACGAGUGGCGGACGGGUGAGUAAUGUCUGGGAAACUGCCCGAUGGAGGGGGAUAACUACUGGAAACGGUAGCUAAUACCGCAUCCCAUCGGAUGUGCCCCGAUGGGAUUAGCUAGUAGGUGGGGUAACGGCGCACCUAGGCGACGAUCCCUAGCUGGUCGGAGAGGAGGACCAGCCACACUGGAACUAGGACGCGGUCCAGACUCCUACGGGAGGCAGCAGUGGGGAAUAUUGCACAAUGGGCGCAAGCCUGAUGCAGCCAUGCCGCGUGUAUGAAGAAGUCCUUCGGGUUGUAAAGUACUUUCAGCGGGGAGGCGUUACCCGCAGAAGAAGCACCGGCUAACUCCGUGCCAGCAGCCGCGGUAAUUC
This 406-nucleotide ribosomal RNA is filed under the name uncultured bacterium. RNAcentral's name for it is "partial 16S ribosomal RNA". It matches the Rfam family "Bacterial small subunit ribosomal RNA", at positions 30 to 526 of the family's 1533-position model. The record is from RNAcentral.